ACAUUUUGAUGUGUAUUUUUUGUUUUUCCUUUUUAUGGAUAGCUCAAAGAUUUCGAGGUGAAGACCCAAUUUAGCUCAGACAUCUGGAUUUUCUGAUUGUUUCCGAAAUGAAGAUAAAAAUCAAAGAUUUACUUUUUGAGGCUAAAUAAGAUGGAUGCUUUGGUGGUGGAUGACGAUAACACCUCUCGAGAGGUCCUCCUGAAGAGUAUGGUGAGUUCACUUUCAUUUAAAAUAGUUAGCAUUUUUUUCCAAAUCUUUUCUUUCUAAUAUGUAAGGUGAAUUUUUCACUCAGAUUUUGGCUCUAACACGGGCAUGUAAAUGUUGUAUCUGAUGAAGAAGAUAAAUGUAGUCCUUCAAAUUUCGUUCUUUCAAACCGCCAUUUCUAGAUGUCCUUAUGUUAUUUUAUUAGUGUUAUACUAGUCAAUUUUCUUGGAGAAGUCUCAGAUCUGAGACGAAUUUGACGAAGAAAAAUCCCAGUAACCACUGUCCACUGCUGUGCUCCAAGACGUCGAUCAGUCAAUUUUCAUCAUAUUACUAAUUUAGUAUUAUCACUAGAAACCUAAGAUCUGAAUUUCCAUUAGGUGCUAGAGACUCUUCAUAGUUGCUUUCUUUUAUAAAUCCCUUAUUUGAUGAAUAUAGCGAGACU
This is a long non-coding RNA of Mercurialis annua (annual mercury), 646 nucleotides long. RefSeq lists it as uncharacterized. The record is from RefSeq and is a predicted model, not a curated record. NCBI's taxonomy places the organism in Eukaryota, Viridiplantae, Streptophyta, Magnoliopsida, Malpighiales, Euphorbiaceae. The transcript has 3 exons.